Molecule: ribosomal RNA, 253 nt
Filed under: uncultured bacterium
Lineage: Bacteria
Description: partial 16S ribosomal RNA
Rfam family: Bacterial small subunit ribosomal RNA
Source: RNAcentral
UACGUAGGGAGCAAGCGUUGUUCGGAUUUACUGGGCGUAAAGGGCGCGUAGGCGGCAAAUUAAGUCAGCUGUGAAAUCUCCGAGCUUAACUCGGAACGGUCAGCUGAUACUGAUCUACUAGAGUGCGGAAGGGGCAAUCGGAAUUCCUGGUGUAGCGGUGAAAUGCGCAGAUAUCAGGAGGAACACCGGUGGCGAAGGCGGGUCUCUGGGCCGAUACUGACGCUGAGGAGCGAAAGCGUGGGGAGCGAACAGG